GCGGGGAUAGCUCAGUUGGGAGAGCGUCAGACUGAAGGAAAACUUCGGUUCAGUCUAUCUGAAGGUCGUCGGUUCAAUCCCGACUCACCGCA
RNAcentral lists this transfer RNA (92 nucleotides) under Scedosporium apiospermum. It matches the Rfam family "tRNA". From Rfam's summary of the family: Transfer RNA (tRNA) molecules are approximately 80 nucleotides in length. Their secondary structure includes four short double-helical elements and three loops (D, anti-codon, and T loops). Lineage: Eukaryota; Fungi; Ascomycota; Sordariomycetes; Microascales; Microascaceae. The record is from Rfam by way of RNAcentral.